GGCUUCUUUGUUGGUCUUUUUCUAUUUUCUAUCUAGGUGAUAAUCUCAAAUAUGCAGCUCCCUAGCAAAGUGUUCAGAUGCAUUGUUUUUCUUUAAGAGACACAACAGAUGAAAUUACAUUACCGAAUACACUUUUAUAUUUGCACUUGAUUCAGAUCUUGCAUCUGUUAAGAUAAUUCCACUGGCCAGAUUCGUUAGAAG
Molecule: long non-coding RNA, 201 nt
Filed under: Capsicum annuum
Lineage: Eukaryota; Viridiplantae; Streptophyta; Magnoliopsida; Solanales; Solanaceae
Description: long non-coding RNA (CANN_LNC004322)
Source: RNAcentral